This is a long non-coding RNA of Lemur catta (Ring-tailed lemur), 1137 nucleotides long. RefSeq lists it as uncharacterized. NCBI's taxonomy places the organism in Eukaryota, Metazoa, Chordata, Mammalia, Primates, Lemuridae. The transcript is spliced from 3 exons. The record is from RefSeq and is a predicted model, not a curated record.
GCGAACCCAGAGCAAGACAAUAGGGCACAGUUACCCUGCCGCGGUGGGCAAGACGAAGAACGCUCCACGUUCUCAGGCUGCACUCCCAGGGUGAAAAACGGACUGUUUGUGACUCAGAAGUACCUGGUUCCAAGGCACUGCAGGUAAAUUGCUUGAGACACCAGAGGAUAUUUUAAGGGGUGCUGCUGCAGGAUGUCCUUCACUCUUCCCUAAACUUCUCAACUGUCCUCUAGAGAAAGGUACAAGUAUUUUUAAAUAUUAGUUUAAAGGCACACAACUAGUUACUCUACCGAGAGCAUCCAAAUGUUUCAGUUAACCUUUUAGUUAUUCUCAACGCUUUUUCUGUCCUAACAUGCUGGAGGGUUGUGACAACCUGCAUCAGCAUCAAUCACUCUAGACGGCAGCAAUUCCCAGGGGACCAGGGUGGGGAGCAUAGGCUUAGGGGGAAAUGAAUCAGGCGCUACCGAGGGGUGUGGUUAGAAAGAGUCUCCUGGAGUUCAGAAUCACUAGUCAUGGCAUUACAGCCUUAUUAAUUAGCCACAAAGGAUGUAGCGUAAGUUGUGAAGCAUUAAUCGGUAAAAUGCAAACAUACAACACAAUGCAUAAACAAAUAAUUCAAAAUAAUUAGCAUUUAUUCCCUGUGUAGCUGCCACAGCAAAUAAGGAAGUUCAAAAUAUCUUGCUUCAUCUGCGAUUGUUUUUUCCUUUUAAUUGCAUCUCCCACCUGCUGUUAAUUUGAAAUGAAUUAAACCCUAAAGAUAGCAUCCAAAAGUAAGAAGACUAAGCAGGUUUCACCUUUGGGCAAAAAUUACAUAACAGCUUCACCCAUCUUCAAAAAGGGUGAAAGAUUCUUUUCCAGAAGCGAUAGGGUAUUUUCUGUUGCAAUAGCAUGCCCCAAUCAGUGAGAGGCUGAUCUAAGGAUGUGACAGCCAACUCCCUCUAGUGUGCUACGUAUAAGCUCUAUGAACUUCUUGUCUCCUUGGAGUUCUACACCGUGCUGUCCAAUAGAAAUAUAAGGCAAACCACAGAUUUUAAAUUUUCAAUUUUCUAGUAGCUACAUAAAAAGAUAAAAAGAAUUAGGUAAAAUUAUUUUGAUAAAAGAUUUUAUUUAACUCAGUAUAUUCAAAAUGUUACCAUU